CCUACGGGUGGCAGCAGUGAGGAAUAUUGGUCAAUGGGCUUAAGCCUGAACCAGCCAAGUCGCGUGAGGGAAGACUGCCCUACGGGUUGUAAACCUCUUUUGUCAGGGAGCAAUUGGGGCUACGAGUAGCGUUAUCGGGAGUACCUGAAGAAAAAGCAUCGGCUAACUCCGUGCCAGCAGCGGCGGUAUUACGGAGGAUGCGAGCGUUAUCCGGAUUUUUUGGGUUUAAAGGGUGCGUAGGCGGAAUGUCAAGUCAGCGGUAAAAGCGCGGGGCUCAACCUCGCUACGCCGUUGAAACUGGCGGUCUGGAGUGGGCGAGAAGUACGCGGAAUGCGCGGUGUAGCGGUGAAAUGCAUAGAUAUCGCGCAGAACUCCGAUUGCGAAGGCAGCAUACCGGCGCCCAACUGACGCUGAAGCACGAAAGCGUGGGUAUCGAACAGGAUUAGAUACCCGGGUAGUC
This 460-nucleotide ribosomal RNA is filed under the name uncultured bacterium. Its description in RNAcentral is "partial 16S ribosomal RNA". It matches the Rfam family "Bacterial small subunit ribosomal RNA", at positions 338 to 795 of the family's 1533-position model. The record is from RNAcentral.